This 799-nucleotide ribosomal RNA is filed under the name uncultured Glomus. RNAcentral's name for it is "SSU rRNA". It matches the Rfam family "Eukaryotic small subunit ribosomal RNA", at positions 314 to 1114 of the family's 1831-position model. The record is from RNAcentral. Lineage: Eukaryota; Fungi; Glomeromycota; Glomeromycetes; Glomerales; Glomeraceae.
AUCAACUUUCGAUUGGUAGGAUAGAGGCCUACCAUGGUGGUAACGGGUAACGGGGUGCUAGGGCACGACACCGGAGAGGGAGCCUGAGAAACGGCUACCACAUCCAAGGAUGGCAGCAGGCGCGCAAAUUACCCAAUCCCGACACGGGGAGGUAGUGACAAUAAAUAACAAUACGGGGUUCUUUCGGAUCUCGUAAUUGGAAUGAGUACAAUUUAAAUCUCUUAACGAGGAACAAUUGGAGGGCAAGUCUGGUGCCAGUAGCCGCGGUAAUUCCAGCUCCAAUAGCGUAUAUUAAAGUUGUUGCAGUUAAAAAGCUCGUAGUUGAAUUUCGGAGUCAAUUUGUUGGUCGUGUCUCGGUACGUACUGGUAUUAUUGGUUUCUACCUUCUGAAGAACCUUGAUGUCAUUAAUUUGGUGUCUUGGGGAAUCAGGACUGUUACUUUGAAAAAAUUAGAGUGUUUAAAGCAAGCAUACGCUUGAAUACAUUAGCAUGGAAUAAUGAAAUAGGACGUUCGAUCUUAUUUUGUUGGUUUCUGGGAUUGACGUAAUGAUUAAUAGGGAUAGUUGGGGGCAUUAGUAUUCAAUUGUCAGAGGUGAAAUUCUUGGAUUUAUUGAAGACUAACUACUGCGAAAGCAUUUGCCAAGGAUGUUUUCAUUAAUCAAGAACGAAAGUUAGGGGAUCGAAGACGAUCAGAUACCGUCGUAGUCUUAACCAUAAACUAUGCCGACUAGGGAUCGGAUGAUGUUAAUUUUUUAAUGACUCAUUCGGCGCCUUACGGGAAACCAAAGUGUUUGGGUUC